CAGCAGCCGCGGGAAUACGUAGGGUGCGAGCGUUAAUCGGAAUUACUGGGCGUAAAGCGUGCGCAGGCGGUUAUAUAAGACAGAUGUGAAAUCCCCGGGCUCAACCUGGGACCUGCAUUUGUGACUGUAUAGCUAGAGUACGGUAGAGGGGGAUGGAAUUCCGUGUGUAGCAGUGAAAUGCGUAGAUAUGCGGAGGAACACCGAUGGCGAAGGCAAUCCCCUGGACCUGUACUGACGCUCAUGCACGAAAGCGUGGGGAGCAAACAGGAUUAGAUACCCCCGUAGUCCCUGUCUCUUAUAC
Molecule: ribosomal RNA, 301 nt
Filed under: uncultured bacterium
Lineage: Bacteria
Description: partial 16S ribosomal RNA
Rfam family: Bacterial small subunit ribosomal RNA
Source: RNAcentral